Ornithorhynchus anatinus (platypus) is the source of this 138-nucleotide small nucleolar RNA. NCBI's taxonomy places the organism in Eukaryota, Metazoa, Chordata, Mammalia, Monotremata, Ornithorhynchidae. The record is from RefSeq and is a predicted model, not a curated record.
CCCCUCUCAGGAUCACACCUGGAGAGUUUCCAGUACUCUACCAGUCUUGAUUAGAGGAGGAAGAAUCAGACAGAGACCUACUCAUUCCAUUCCUAGCUUGGGCAGUGGCUAGCGAGUGGAAGGCCAUCUGCUUGAAGU